This 504-nucleotide long non-coding RNA is filed under the name Mustela putorius furo (domestic ferret). RNAcentral describes it as "lncRNA (ENSMPUG00000026904.1)". The record is from RNAcentral. Lineage: Eukaryota; Metazoa; Chordata; Mammalia; Carnivora; Mustelidae.
CUUGGUACCUCUUCUUCUCCCUCAUUCUUGGGGAACUCAGCACCCAUGGGAGGGGUCUAACAUUCUGACAUCAAGGGUCUUAAGCUACCAACUCUUAAAGAUUUCCUAUGCAACUACCAACAUUAUUUGGCAGCAUGGUGAGGAAAUCAGAACAACUUUUCUAAACAUGAACUUUAGAAUGAGGAAAACUAUCCAGUAUUUGCUAAUUUGCAGCAUUCUCAGAGACUUUAUACACAAAUAAUGAGAAUCAACUGGGAUCUUAGACUUUAGAAGAAGAAGAAAGAGCAACUGGUCCUCAAUGGAUUGGGUGAUGCCCACCCACAAAGGAGGAAGCAAUCUAUUGAUUCCACCAAUCCUAAUAUGAAUGUCAUCCAGAAACACUUCACAGACAUCCUUGGAAAUGUUUAGAGGCACCUGGGUGGCUCAGUCGGUUGAACAUCUGCCUUCAGCUCAGGUUAUGAUCCCAGGGUCCUGGGAUUGAGCCUAGCAUCAUGCUCCCUGGUC